RNAcentral lists this ribosomal RNA (495 nucleotides) under uncultured bacterium. RNAcentral's name for it is "partial 16S ribosomal RNA". It matches the Rfam family "Bacterial small subunit ribosomal RNA", at positions 28 to 507 of the family's 1533-position model. The record is from RNAcentral.
GACGAACGCUGGCGGCGUGCCUAAUACAUGCAAGUAGAACGCUGAAGGAGGAGCUUGCUUCUCUGGAUGAGUUGCGAACGGGUGAGUAACGCGUAGGUAACCUGCCUGGUAGCGGGGGAUAACUAUUGGAAACGAUAGCUAAUACCGCAUAAGAGUAGAUGUUGCAUGACAUUUGCUUAAAAGGUGCAAUUGCAUCACUACCAGAUGGACCUGCGUUGUAUUAGCUAGUUGGUGGGGUAACGGCUCACCAAGUCGACGAUACAUAGCCGACCUGAGAGGGGGAUCGGCCACACUGGGACUGAGACACGGCCCAGACUCCUACGGGAGGCAGCAGUAGGGAAUCUUCGGCAAUGGACGGAAGUCUGACCGAGCAACGCCGCGUGAGUGAAGAAGGGUGUCGGAUCGUAAAGCUCUGUUGUAAGAGAAGAACGAGUGUGAGAGUGGAAAGUUCACACUGUGACGGUAUCUUACCAGAAAGGGACGGCUAACUACGUG